This 459-nucleotide ribosomal RNA is filed under the name uncultured bacterium. Its description in RNAcentral is "bacterial SSU rRNA". It matches the Rfam family "Bacterial small subunit ribosomal RNA", at positions 385 to 842 of the family's 1533-position model. The record is from RNAcentral.
GAUGCAGCGACGCCGCGUGAGUGAAGAAGUAUUUCGGUAUGUAAAGCUCUAUCAGCAGGGAAGAAAUACUGACCAUAGGGUCAGCAGACGGUACUUGACUAAGAAGCCCCGGCUAACUACGUGCCAGCAGCCGCGGUAAUACGUAGGGGGCAAGCGUUAUCCGGAUUUACUGGGUGUAAAGGGAGCGUAGACGGCAGCGCAAGUCUGAAGUGAAAUGCCAGGGCUUAACCCUGGAACUGCUUUGGAAACUGUGCAGCUAGAGUGCAGGAGAGGUAAGUGGAAUUUCUAGUGUAGCGGUGAAAUGCGUAGAUAUUAGGAGGAACACCAGUGGCGAAGGCGGCUUACUGGACUGUAACUGACGUUGAGGCUCGAAAGCGUGGGGAGCAAACAGGAUUAGAUACCCUGGUAGUCCACGCUGUAAACGAUGAUUACUAGGUGUUGGGGGACCAAGGUUCUUCG